Molecule: unclassified non-coding RNA, 376 nt
Filed under: soil metagenome
Description: partial contains 5.8S ribosomal RNA, internal transcribed spacer 2, and large subunit ribosomal RNA
Rfam family: 5.8S ribosomal RNA (bases 1-120)
Source: RNAcentral
GAUGAAGAACGUAGCGAAAUGCGAUAAGUAAUGUGAAUUGCAGAAUUCAGUGAAUCAUCGAAUCUUUGAACGCAUCUUGCGCUCCUUGGUAUUCUGAGGAGCAUGCCUGUUUGAGUGUCAUUAGAUUCUCAACUACACUGACUUUGAAUUGGUGUGGCUUGGAUUUGGGGGGAAAAUUGUUGUGGGCUUUUUGUAUAGUCUGCUCCCCUGAAAUUGAUUAGCGGUACCUUUGUGGAACUGUCUACAGGUGUGAUAAUUAUCUACAUCUUAGACAUCUGCUGGAAUGCUGCUUUCUAAACCUUACUUGUAUUGACAAUCUUGACCUCAAAUCAGGUAGGACUACCCGCUGAACUUAAGCAUAUCAAUAAGCGGAGGA